UGGGGAAUAUUGCACAAUGGGCGAAAGCCUGAUGCAGCAACGCCGCGUGAGUGAUGAAGGUCUUCGGAUUGUAAAGCUCUGUCUUUUGGGACGAUAAUGACGGUACCAAAGGAGGAAGCCACGGCUAACUACGUGCCAGCAGCCGCGGUAAUACGUAGGUGGCGAGCGUUGUCCGGAUUUACUGGGCGUAAAGGGUGCGUAGGCGGAUGUUUAAGUGAGAUGUGAAAUACCCGGGCUUAACUUGGGUGCUGCAUUUCAAACUGGAUAUCUAGAGUGCAGGAGAGGAGAAUGGAAUUCCUAGUGUAGCGGUGAAAUGCGUAGAGAUUAGGAAGAACACCAGUGGCGAAGGCGAUUCUCUGGACUGUAACUGACGCUGAGGCACGAAAGCAGUGGGUAGCAAA
This 401-nucleotide ribosomal RNA is filed under the name uncultured bacterium. Its description in RNAcentral is "partial 16S ribosomal RNA". It matches the Rfam family "Bacterial small subunit ribosomal RNA", at positions 355 to 772 of the family's 1533-position model. The record is from RNAcentral.